Molecule: ribosomal RNA, 481 nt
Filed under: uncultured bacterium
Lineage: Bacteria
Description: partial 16S ribosomal RNA
Rfam family: Bacterial small subunit ribosomal RNA
Source: RNAcentral
GAUGAACGCUGGCGGCGUGCUUAACACAUGCAAGUCGAACGAAACACCUUAUUUGAUUUUCUUUGGAACUGAAGAUUUGGUGAUUGAGUGGCGGACGGGUGAGUAACGCGUGGGUAACCUGCCCUGUACAGGGGGAUAACAGUCAGAAAUGACUGCUAAUACCGCAUAAGACCACAGCACCGCAUGGUGCAGGGGUAAAAACUCCGGUGGUACAGGAUGGACCCGCGUCUGAUUAGCUGGUUGGUGAGGUAACGGCUCACCAAGGCGACGAUCAGUAGCCGGCUUGAGAGAGUGAACGGCCACAUUGGGACUGAGACACGGCCCAAACUCCUACGGGAGGCAGCAGUGGGGAAUAUUGCACAAUGGGGGAAACCCUGAUGCAGCGACGCCGCGUGAGUGAAGAAGUAUUUCGGUAUGUAAAGCUCUAUCAGCAGGGAAGAAAAUGACGGUACCUGACUAAGAAGCCCCGGCUAACUACGUG